GAUCCUGGCUCAGGAUGAACGCUAGCUACAGGCUUAACACAUGCAAGUCGAGGGGCAGCAUGGUCUUAGCUUGCUAAGACUGAUGGCGACCGGCGCACGGGUGAGUAACACGUAUCCAACCUGCCGUCUACUCUUGGACAGCCCUCUGAAAGGAAGAUUAAUACAAGAUGGCAUCGUGAGUCCGCAUGUUCACAUGAUUAAAGGUAUUCCGGUAGACGAUGGGGA
Molecule: ribosomal RNA, 225 nt
Filed under: uncultured bacterium
Lineage: Bacteria
Description: partial 16S ribosomal RNA
Rfam family: Bacterial small subunit ribosomal RNA
Source: RNAcentral